GAUGAACGCUAGCGGGAGGCUUAACACAUGCAAGCCGAGGGGUAGAGUUAUUUCGGUAACUUGAGACCGGCGCACGGGUGCGUAACGCGUAUGCAACUUACCCUACUGAAAGGGAUAGCCCAGAGAAAUUUGGAUUAAUACCUUAUAAUAGAGAGUCUGGCAUCGGACUUUUUGAAAGAUUUAUCGCAGUAGGAUAGGCAUGCGUAAGAUUAGAUAGUUGGAGAGGUAACGGCUCACCAAGUCUACGAUCUUUAGGGGGCCUGAGAGGGUGAACCCCCACACUGGUACUGAGACACGGACCAGACUCCUACGGGAGGCAGCAGUGAGGAAUAUUGGACAAUGGGUGGAAGCCUGAUCCAGCCAUCCCGCGUGUAGGAUGACGGCCUUAUGGGCUGUAAACUACUUUUAUCUGGGGAUAAACCUACUUACGUGUAAGUAGCUGAAGGUACCAGAAGAAUAAGCCACGGCUAAACUACGUG
Molecule: ribosomal RNA, 479 nt
Filed under: uncultured bacterium
Lineage: Bacteria
Description: bacterial SSU rRNA
Rfam family: Bacterial small subunit ribosomal RNA
Source: RNAcentral